UGGGCACAGUUGCUAGUUUGCCUAGUUGC
Molecule: non-coding RNA, 29 nt
Filed under: Homo sapiens (human)
Lineage: Eukaryota; Metazoa; Chordata; Mammalia; Primates; Hominidae
Source: RNAcentral